GACGAACGCUGGCGGCGUGCUUAACACAUGCAAGUCGAACGGAAAGGCCCUGCUUUUGUGGGGUGCUCGAGUGGCGAACGGGUGAGUAACACGUGAGUAACCUGCCCUUGACUUUGGGAUAACUUCAGGAAACUGGGGCUAAUACCGGAUAGGAGCUCCUGCUGCAUGGUGGGGGUUGGAAAGUUUCGGCGGUUGGGGAUGGACUCGCGGCUUAUCAGCUUGUUGGUGGGGUAGUGGCUUACCAAGGCUUUGACGGGUAGCCGGCCUGAGAGGGUGACCGGCCACAUUGUGACUGAGAUACGGCCCAGACUCCUACGGGCGGCAGCAGUGGGGAAUAUUGCACAAUGGGCGGAAGCCUGAUGCAGCAACGCCGCGUGCGGGAUGACGGCCUUCGGGUUGUAAACCGCUUUCGCCUGUGACGAAGCGUGAGUGACGGUAAUGGGUAAAGAAGCACCGGCUAACUACGUG
This 468-nucleotide ribosomal RNA is filed under the name uncultured bacterium. RNAcentral's name for it is "partial 16S ribosomal RNA". It matches the Rfam family "Bacterial small subunit ribosomal RNA", at positions 28 to 507 of the family's 1533-position model. The record is from RNAcentral.